Molecule: ribosomal RNA, 329 nt
Filed under: uncultured eukaryote
Lineage: Eukaryota
Description: partial 18S ribosomal RNA
Rfam family: Eukaryotic small subunit ribosomal RNA
Source: RNAcentral
CCCUUAGAUGUCCGGGGCCGCACGCGCGCUACACUGAAGGAAUCAGCGUGGCUUUCUCCCUGACCCGAAAGGGUUGGGAAACCCGUUGAAUCUCCUUCGUGAUAGGGAUUGGGGCUUGAAAUUGUUCCCCAUGAACGAGGAAUUCCCAGUAAGCGCGAGUCAUAAGCUCGCGUUGAUUACGUCCCUGCCCUUUGUACACACCGCCCGUCGCUACUACCGAUUGAAUGGCUUAGUGAGCUCUCUGGACUGUUGCACUUCGGGGGCAACCCUGUUGAGCAUACGGGAAGGAGAUCAAACUUGAUCAUUUAGAGGAAGUAAAAGUCGUAACA